This 1510-nucleotide ribosomal RNA is filed under the name metagenome. RNAcentral describes it as "bacterial SSU rRNA". It matches the Rfam family "Bacterial small subunit ribosomal RNA". The record is from RNAcentral.
AGGGUUUGAUCCUGGCUCAGAACGAACGCUGGCGGCGUGGUUGAUACAUGCAAGUCGAACGGGAACGUUUCCUUCGGGAAACUAGUAUAGUGGCGGACGGGUGAGUAAUGCUUGAUCAACCUGCCCUUGAGAUCGGGAUAGCCAUUCGAAAGGAUGGGUAAUACCGGAUAAGACCACGGUAUCGCAUGGUACAGUGGUAAAAAGGUUGGGAUUUUCGGACCUUCUGCUCGAGGAUGGGAUCAAGUUCUAUCAGCUUGUUGGUGAGGUAAUGGCUCACCAAGGCUUUGACGGAUAGCCGGCCUGAGAGGGUGAACGGCCACACUGGAACUGAGACACGGUCCAGGCUCCUACGGGAGGCAGCAGUGCUGAAUUAUUCGCCAAUGCGCGAAAGCGUGACGGUGCGACGCCGCGUGCGGGACGAAGGCUUUCGGGUUGUAAACCGCUGUCAAGAUAUAGAAAACUGGUGUCGUUAAUAGCGGCAUCACUGAUCAUAUUUAAAGGAAGCACAGGCUAAUCUCGUGCCAGCAGCCGCGGUAAUACGAGAUGUGCGAGCGUUGUUCGGAAUUACUGGGCAUAAAGGGUGCGUAGGCGGUCUUGCAAGUUGGGUGUGAAAUCCCCUGGCUCAACCAGGGAAUUGCACCCAAUACUACAAGACUUGAGAGUGAAAGGGGUAAGUGGAAUUCCAGGUGUAGCGGUGGAAUGCGUAGAUAUCUGGGAGAACGCCAAGGGCGAAGGCAGCUUACUGGGUCACUUCUGACGCUGAGGCACGAAAGCUAGGGGAGCAAACAGGAUUAGAUACCCUGGUAGUCCUAGCCGUAAACGAUGGGUACUUUGUCACGGGAAGUCUGAUCUUCUCGGGGCCGUAGUUAACGCGUUAAGUACCCCGCCUGGGGAGUAUGGUCGCAAGGCUAAAACUCAAAGGAAUUGACGGGGGCUCACACAAGCGGUGGAGCAUGUUGUUCAAUUCGAAUCAACGCGAAGAACCUUACCUGGACUUGACAUGGCAGUAGUAGAACCCUGAAAGGGUAACCACCGGUAUCCAGUCCGGAGCUGUCACAGGUGCUGCAUGGCUGUCGUCAGCUCGUGUCGUGAGACGUUGGGUUAAGUCCCGUAACGAGCGAAACCCUCGUCGUCUGUUGCUACCGGGUCAUGCCGGGCACUCUGGCGAGACUGCCGGUGUUAAACCGGAGGAAGGUGGGGACGACGUCAAGUCAUCAUGGUCCUUACGUCCAGGGCUACAAACGUGCUACAAUGGCGAGUACAGAGAGCCGCAAUACCGCGAGGUGGAGCAAAUCUUCAAAACUCGCCCCAGUUCAGAUUGGAGGCUGCAAUUCGCCUCCAUGAAGUCGGAAUCGCUAGUAAUCGCGGAUCAGCUACGCCGCGGUGAAUACGUUCCUGAGCCUUGUACACACCGCCCGUCAAGCCACCCAAGCUGGAAGCACCCGAAGUCCGGCGCCAAUAGUCCGGCCGAAGGUGAGUCUGGUGAGGGGGACUAAGUCGUAACAAGGUA